GAUGAAGAACGCAGCGAAAUGCGAUAAGUAAUGUGAAUUGCAGAAUUCAGUGAAUCAUCGAAUCUUUGAACGCACAUUGCGCCCCCUGGUAUUCCGGGGGGCAUGCCUGUUCGAGCGUCAUUUCACCACUCAAGCCUCGCUUGGUAUUGGGCAACGCGGUCCGCCGCGUGCCUCAAAUCGACCGGCUGGGUCUUCUGUCCCCUAAGCGUUGUGGAAACUAUUCGCUAAAGGGUGUUCGGGAGGCUACGCCGUAAAACAACCCCAUUUCUAAGGUUGACCUCGGAUCAGGUAGGGAUACCCGCUGAACUUAAGCAUAUCAAUAAGCGGAGGA
Molecule: unclassified non-coding RNA, 331 nt
Filed under: soil metagenome
Description: partial contains 5.8S ribosomal RNA, internal transcribed spacer 2, and large subunit ribosomal RNA
Rfam family: 5.8S ribosomal RNA (bases 1-120)
Source: RNAcentral